CAGUAGCCGCGGUAAUACGUAGGUGGCAAGCGUUGUCCGGAAUUAUUGGGCGUAAAGGGCUCGCAGGCGGUUGUUUAAGUCUGUUGUGAAAUCCCCGGGCUCAACCUGGGAAUGGCAAUGGAAACUGGACGGCUAGAGUGUGUCAGAGGAUGGUGGAAUUCCCGGUGUAGCGGUGAAAUGCGUAGAGAUCGGGAGGAACAUCAGUGGCGAAGGCGGCCAUCUGGGACAACACUGACGCUGAAGCACGAAAGCGUGGGGAGCAAACAGGAUUAGAUACCCCCGUAGUCCCUGUCUCUUAUAC
This 301-nucleotide ribosomal RNA is filed under the name uncultured bacterium. RNAcentral's name for it is "partial 16S ribosomal RNA". It matches the Rfam family "Bacterial small subunit ribosomal RNA", at positions 509 to 807 of the family's 1533-position model. The record is from RNAcentral.